UACGUAGGGUGCAAGCGUUAAUCGGAAUUACUGGGCGUAAAGCGUGCGCAGGCGGUCCGUUAAGACCGAUGUGAAAUCCCCGGGCUUAACCUGGGAACUGCAUUGGUGACUGGCAGGCUUUGAGUGUGGCAGAGGGGGGUAGAAUUCCACGUGUAGCAGUGAAAUGCGUAGAGAUGUGGAGGAAUACCGAUGGCGAAGGCAGCCCCCUGGGCCAACACUGACGCUCAUGCACGAAAGCGUGGGGAGCAAACAGG
This 254-nucleotide ribosomal RNA is filed under the name uncultured bacterium. RNAcentral's name for it is "partial 16S ribosomal RNA". It matches the Rfam family "Bacterial small subunit ribosomal RNA", at positions 524 to 776 of the family's 1533-position model. The record is from RNAcentral.